Molecule: small nuclear RNA, 108 nt
Filed under: Propithecus coquereli (Coquerel's sifaka)
Lineage: Eukaryota; Metazoa; Chordata; Mammalia; Primates; Indriidae
Source: RNAcentral
GUGCUCGCUUCAUCAGCACAUAUACUAAAAAUUGGACCGACACAGAGAAGAUUAACAUGGCCCCUGCGCAAGGAUGACAUGCAAAUUCAUGAAGUGUUCCAUAUUGCA